UAUAAGUCUAUAGCCAGUGGCAUCCAGC
Molecule: non-coding RNA, 28 nt
Filed under: Homo sapiens (human)
Lineage: Eukaryota; Metazoa; Chordata; Mammalia; Primates; Hominidae
Source: RNAcentral